GACGAACGCUGGCGGCGUGCUUAACACAUGCAAGUCGAACGGAAAGGCCCUGCUUUUGUGGGGUGCUCGAGUGGCGAACGGGUGAGUAACACGUGAGUAACCUGCCCUUGACUUUGGGAUAACUUCAGGAAACUGGGGCUAAUACCGGAUAGGAGCUCCUGCUGCAUGGUGGGGGUUGGAAAGUUUCGGCGGUUGGGGAUGGACUCGCGGCUUAUCAGCUUGUUGGUGGGGUAGUGGCUUACCAAGGCUUUGACGGGUAGCCGGCCUGAGAGGGUGACCGGCCCCAUUGGGCCUGAGGUACGGCCCAGGCCCCUUCGGGGGGCAGCAGUUGGGAAUAUUGCACAAUGGGCGGAAGCCUGAUGCAGCAACGCCGCGUGCGGGAUGACGGCCUUCGGGUUGUAAACCGCUUUCGCCUGUGACGAAGCGUGAGUGACGGUAAUGGGUAAAGAAGCACCGGCUAACUACGUG
Molecule: ribosomal RNA, 468 nt
Filed under: uncultured bacterium
Lineage: Bacteria
Description: partial 16S ribosomal RNA
Rfam family: Bacterial small subunit ribosomal RNA
Source: RNAcentral